RNAcentral lists this ribosomal RNA (510 nucleotides) under uncultured bacterium. RNAcentral describes it as "partial 16S ribosomal RNA". It matches the Rfam family "Bacterial small subunit ribosomal RNA", at positions 28 to 507 of the family's 1533-position model. The record is from RNAcentral.
GACGAACGCUGGCGGCGUGCUUAACACAUGCAAGUCGAACGAAGAGCGAUGGAAGCUUGCUUCUAUCAAUCUUAGUGGCGAACGGGUGAGUAACGCGUAAUCAACCUGCCCUUCAGAGGGGGACAACAGUUGGAAACGACUGCUAAUACCGCAUACGAUCUAAUCUCGGCAUCGAGGAUAGAUGAAAGGUGGCCUCUACAUGUAAGCUAUCACUGAAGGUGGGGAUUGCGUCUGAUUAGCUAGUUGGAGGGGUAACGGCCCACCAAGGCGAUGAUCAGUAGCCGGUCUGAGAGGAUGAACGGCCACAUUGGGACUGAGACACGGCCCAGACUCCUACGGGAGGCAGCAGUGGGGAAUCUUCCGCAAUGGACGAAAGUCUGACGGAGCAACGCCGCGGGAGUGAUGACGGCCUUCGGGUUGUAAAGCUCUGUUAAUCGGGACGAAAGGCCUUCUUGCGAAUAGUGAGAAGGAUUGACGGUACCGGAAUAGAAAGCCACGGCUAACUACGUG